CGAGUUAGAUCUACUGGAAGUGGAAAAUCACGUGUUGGAGAGAAAACGACACGCCCAGUGUCAGGACCAAUGAGAGCUAUGAUACAAAGAACUCCCAGUCAAGUCGAAUUUUUUAAACAUUUGGAAGAGAAAAUAAACAGUGAAGAAAAUGAAGAUGAACAGACAAACAGUAGUGCAAGUUGACACAAAGAAAGCUUCUGAACUGCUUUAAUGGAAGAAAUAUAAUACGUUGUUAAAACGUUU
Molecule: long non-coding RNA, 243 nt
Organism: Limulus polyphemus (Atlantic horseshoe crab)
Lineage: Eukaryota; Metazoa; Arthropoda; Merostomata; Xiphosura; Limulidae
Exons: 3
Source: RefSeq, a predicted model, not a curated record